RNAcentral lists this ribosomal RNA (392 nucleotides) under uncultured bacterium. RNAcentral's name for it is "partial 16S ribosomal RNA". It matches the Rfam family "Bacterial small subunit ribosomal RNA", at positions 523 to 918 of the family's 1533-position model. The record is from RNAcentral.
AUACGGAGGAUGCAAGCGUUAUCCGGAUUUAUUGGGUUUAAGGGUGCGUAGGCUGUUCGACAAGUCAGGGGUGAAAGCCCAGUGCCUAACACUGGAACUGCCUUUGAUACUGCCGAGCUGGAAUACGGAUGCCGUGGGAGGAAUGAGUAGUGUAGGGGUGAAAUGCAUAGAUAUUGCCCAGAACACCGAUUGCGAAGGCAUCUCACGAAUCCGAGACUGACGCUGAGGCACGAAAGCGUGGGGAUCAAACAGGAUUAGAUACCCUGGUAGUCCACGCAGUAAACGAUGAUAACUAACCGUCGGCGAUAGAAUGUCGGUGGCCAAGCGAAAGCGAUAAGUUAUCCACCUGGGGAGUACGUUCGCAAGAAUGAAACUUAAAGGAAUUGACGGGG